RNAcentral lists this ribosomal RNA (859 nucleotides) under Escherichia coli. RNAcentral describes it as "partial 23S ribosomal RNA". It matches the Rfam family "Bacterial large subunit ribosomal RNA", at positions 2063 to 2916 of the family's 2925-position model. The record is from RNAcentral. Lineage: Bacteria; Pseudomonadati; Pseudomonadota; Gammaproteobacteria; Enterobacterales; Enterobacteriaceae.
AGUGUACCCGCGGCAAGACGGAAAGACCCCGUGAACCUUUACUAUAGCUUGACACUGAACAUUGAGCCUUGAUGUGUAGGAUAGGUGGGAGGCUUUGAAGUGUGGACGCCAGUCUGCAUGGAGCCGGCCUUGAAAUACCACCCUUUAAUGUUUGAUGUUCUAACGUUGACCCGUGAUCCGGGUUGCGGACAGUGUCUGGUGGGUAGUUUGACUGGGGCGGUCUCCUCCUAAAGAGUAACGGAGGAGCACGAAGGUUGGCUAAUCCUGGUCGGACAUCAGGAGGUUAGUGCAAUGGCAUAAGCCAGCUUGACUGCGAGCGUGACGGCGCGAGCAGGUGCGAAAGCAGGUCAUAGUGAUCCGGUGGUUCUGAAUGGAAGGGCCAUCGCUCAACGGAUAAAAGGUACUCCGGGGAUAACAGGCUGAUACCGCCCAAGAGUUCAUAUCGACGGCGGUGUUUGGCACCUCGAUGUCGGCUCAUCACAUCCUGGGGCUGAAGUAGGUCCCAAGGGUAUGGCUGUUCGCCAUUUAAAGUGGUACGCGAGCUGGGUUUAGAACGUCGUGAGACAGUUCGGUCCCUAUCUGCCGUGGGCGCUGGAGAACUGAGGGGGGCUGCUCCUAGUACGAGAGGACCGGAGUGGACGCAUCACUGGUGUUCGGGUUGUCAUGCCAAUGGCACUGCCCGGUAGCUAAAUGCGGAAGAGAUAAGUGCUGAAAGCAUCUAAGCACGAAACUUGCCCCGAGAUGAGUUCUCCCUGACUCCUUGAGAGUCCUGAAGGAACGUUGAAGACGACGACGUUGAUAGGCCGGGUGUGUAAGCGCAGCGAUGCGUUGAGCUAACCGGUACUAAUGAACCGUGAGG